GUCUUAUCAAGAGUGGGCGAGAGAACGGGCUUGAUGACCCCACAGCAACCUGCCGCAGGCAAGGUGCUAACACCCGCAAAGCGGUUUCGCUUUGGAUGAUAAGAA
Regulatory RNA element from Geobacillus kaustophilus HTA426, 105 nucleotides. It matches the Rfam family "SAM riboswitch aptamer (S box leader)". Rfam says of the family: The SAM riboswitch is found upstream of a number of genes which code for proteins involved in methionine or cysteine biosynthesis in Gram-positive bacteria. The SAM riboswitch acts at the level of transcription termination control. NCBI's taxonomy places the organism in Bacteria, Bacillati, Bacillota, Bacilli, Caryophanales, Anoxybacillaceae. The record is from Rfam.